UACGUAGGGGGCAAGCGUUAUCCGGAUUUACUGGGUGUAAAGCGCGUGUAGGCGGGGGGCCAAGUCUGCUGUGAAAUCGCCCGGCUCAACUGGGCGGGGUCGGUGGAAACUGGUCACCUGGAGGACGGUAGAGGCGAGUGGAAUUCCCGGUGUAGUGGUGAAAUGCGUAGAGAUCGGGAGGAACACCAGUGGCGAAGGCGGCUCGCUGGGCCGGACCUGACGCUGAGACGCGAAGGCGUGGGGAGCGAACGGG
This 253-nucleotide ribosomal RNA is filed under the name uncultured bacterium. RNAcentral describes it as "partial 16S ribosomal RNA". It matches the Rfam family "Bacterial small subunit ribosomal RNA", at positions 524 to 776 of the family's 1533-position model. The record is from RNAcentral.